GGUUGUGGCUUAGCGGUAGAGUGCUUGUCUGGCACGCACGGGACCCUGGGUUAGAUCCUCAGCAUCA
Molecule: transfer RNA, 67 nt
Filed under: Marmota monax (woodchuck)
Lineage: Eukaryota; Metazoa; Chordata; Mammalia; Rodentia; Sciuridae
Description: tRNA.Ala
Source: RNAcentral